GUCAAGUGUCCUGUCAAGUUGCAGAACUAUUUUAAUUAAUCGAUCUACCAGUUGACAUAUCUGGUAGGUCUUUUUGGUUUGUUUGUUUGUUUGUUUUGUUUUGUUUUGUUUUGUUUUGUUUUUUAUGUCAACUGGCAUUAUAGGUAGCCCUUUGUCCCUUAGGUAGGGAGUUUCCUUCUGACUUAGCAUUUCAGCCUGUCAGGUGGAACAAUAAACAGCAUGUUCUCUUCUGUAACUACUUCCAGCUAACAUUAGGACUUUGCUAUCUGGGCUCAGGAAGGCUGACAGGCUAGUCAAAGGCUGGGCAAUGGGGCAUUUAUCAAAAGCAUCUGAUUAGCUGAUCCAGCUGAAAGACAGGGAGCAAUCACAUCAGCUGGCCUGGGUUAUAUCUGCUUUCAUCAAGUCCAGAAGUUCAGUCAAGCUCAGCAGUUUGCAGUCUGCAGUUGAUCCCUGGAUAGAGUCCGUCCGUCAGCCAAGUGAAAAUCUGCUGAGACAAAUAUAGACUAGAGACAGAAAUUACAGUUUCCUAAUCAUUGGGGAAGGUGGGGAAUGCCAAGAGUAGGGGAAAAUCUCAACUUGGGGACAGGCAGGUGGACUUAUGUAGAGUCCUUUUGACCUGUGGCAGAUGGAUCCAAGACUUCUUAGAUUUCCUGAAGCUUACAUGGAUUUUUAGUUUACAAAAAAAGAGAUACAUUGCCUUUGUAAUAUAUCAAGACAAAAAGGAGAUGUAUUACCAUUUUGUUAAAAGUCCAUAUUUUAGCAAAAGCCAUUGACAGGUGUCUGUAAUACAGCAGGAACAGAUUCACGAAUUUGAGUCUUAGCAAAAAAAAAAAAAAAAAAAAAAAAAAAAAAACAAAAACAAAUCCAUAGUUUUAGGUUAUUUUCUUGUCCAGGGAUCCAGUUAUAUAGAAUGGACAAAGAUGCCUCAGCCUGACUAGAGACAUCUUUAUGUACAUAUCUAAAAGACAACCAAAGAAAACUCAACUCCUAAGCUUGUGACAAGGUAGUAAGCAGUGCUCCAUCAUGCCCUGAACCUCUGAAAUCUCAGGGCGAUAACAGCAUCUAAGGACAAAGAAGUUUGGAAACCCUCAGAAUUUAUCUUUUUUAAUAUCCCUAAAUCUUUAUAUAUCUCAAAACAAUUUUUAAUCAUUUACCAAAAACAUGAGUAGUUACUAUUAUUAAAGUCAUUUAAAGUCGUUAAAAACCACACUUCUUCAAUGAAAAGAUACACCUGACACCUGUUUAUCCUUGAACAUGAAGCCUGUAAGCAAGGCAAACCUCUUUGCCUUCUUUUAAUGAGAACCUUAGUUGUUUUAACUAAUUAAUGAACUGAUUAAUGAACUAACAUGGUGGUAGAUUACCUUGGAUUAAGGUUCUAGUUGUCUGUUGCUCCUCAGCUGACAAAGCUACAGUUAGCUAGCCUAACUGUGAUCAGAGACUCGAGAAAAAUAAAUAUAAUCUAAAUGGCCAAUGUAUCCAUGAAAAUGACAGAGAAUAAAUAGUCCAUAGUCUAUUACCUAGACUGCCAUCCCAUGUUGCAGGAUUUUCCCUGUCCAAUUACAUUAGUGCAGGAGGUCUGUGAUUGGACAGAGAAAAGGGAGGCAGAGCUAAGAGUUGCAGAGAGACGGAACAUCUCAGAGGAGAGGGGAAAGAAGGUGGCUGCUGUUGUAAACCCGUGUGGCGUUUACCAGCCACAAGUAGCUACGAUUUCACAAGGUUAGAAAUAUUGGGAUAAAGCUUAUAUCAUUAUCAGUUGGUUCUGAUAUUAUUGUAUUGGCGUCUCAUAAAUUGUGAAUUUAUUGAUGCAUAAAUCUGAAUUGUUAAUUAAGUUUUAAGAGUCUUGAUUCUACCAGGUAAUUAGGUGUUGAGAUGGCAGACCUUUGGGUACAUGGGGCAUUGCAUGGUAGCUAGAGGAACUGGGGGUGGGGGUCGUGGAGAGAGAGGGCCCGGUGGUGCCCUGUGGCUGGAGAGUUGGUGGACGGGCAAGAGCACGAGAGUGUGGUCGGGGCCCCAUGGAGCGUUGGCAGGUUCAUUUUUUAAUCUAUUUCCCAUAACAAUCCCAAGCUCCUUGGUCUCCAUGACAUCAUGGGUAGAGGCAGUUGUUGGCCAUCAGGCUCAGAGAUGAAAGGCUUUCAGGCAUAGGAAUCACGGAUAACUAGCUCCUUACCUCAAGGUAAUCUACCACCAUGUUGGUUGGUUAAUCAGUUCAUUAAUUAGUUAAAGUUACUAGAGCUCUUCUUAAAGGACUGCAAACAGGUUUGCCUUGCUCACAGGCUUCAUGUUCAAGGAUAAACAGGCUUCGGAUGUAACUUUCCACUAAAGAAAUGUGGACUUCUCUGCUUCAGAGGACCGCCAACCCUUCUCAUAGAACCCAGAUGCUAGGAGCCUAUCAAGGGCAGGGCCAUUCUGAGUCUUCCUCAGCUCCCCAAAUCCAUGCUGGGCUUAGCCAACGCUUCAGCUGUGCCUCCCAACUUCAUGGGGUACCCCAGAAGGUUUCUAGGCUUUGGAAUCCUGUUGAAAUAACCUUAUGGCCUAUGGGACAAUUCCCCAUGCCUAGAUGAAGGGUUUGGGGAGCUUUGGGGCUUGCAGCUGGCCUCCUUUGCCCUAGAUAAGAUACCCUAUAACCAGAAUCCAGAAGCCAACAAGAAGCUAGCAUAAAUAAAUAAAUAAAUAAAUAAAUAAAUAAGAG
Molecule: long non-coding RNA, 2689 nt
Filed under: Mus musculus (house mouse)
Lineage: Eukaryota; Metazoa; Chordata; Mammalia; Rodentia; Muridae
Description: long non-coding RNA chr5:20320830-20323519
Source: RNAcentral